Molecule: long non-coding RNA, 4084 nt
Filed under: Podarcis lilfordi (Lilford's wall lizard)
Lineage: Eukaryota; Metazoa; Chordata; Lepidosauria; Squamata; Lacertidae
Source: RNAcentral
AAACACAUACUUCUCCAGCUUACUGUCCAUCAGAAGUUCUGGACUACAGCUCCCAUCAUGCCUCACUGUUGGCCAUGUUGGUGGUCAUUGGAGUCCAAAACAUCUGGAAUGCAUGAGAGGAAGAAAAGCUGCAUAAGAAUAUAUCUGUAGAUCCAAGAAGUAAGCCAAGGUCAAGAGUAUAAAUAUAAUCCAGAGAAUGCCAUUGUGUUCCUGUCCUGCUUGUAGAUUUGUCGCUAUGGGAACAGAAUGUUGGUCUUUGCUUUGAGCCAGAAGAGCUCUUCUUAUGUUCUUAUAGAUAGAUAAAAGCUCUGCAUGUCCUUUUCAUCAUCAAGUCAGGCUAAUAAAAAGAUAGCCUUCCCUGUGUUCUAACUUAGAUAUUUUCUGCUCUGAACACAGAUUACAGGCAAAGACAGCAGUAUUUCCUUUCCAUACAAAAUCCCUUAAAUGAGCUAUUCUUCUUGAAAUAUCUCACUGGUAAGCAGCCAGCCAAUCUUUAAUCACUUCACUCUUAUACAGUUAAGAAAAAAGUCAAAACUUGAGUUUUGAAUGCAAUUGGCCCAAGUAGAAAAAUUCUGAGGGCCUUAUUUUGAAAUGAAUCCAGCUCACAGGGGGUUCAAAAUGUCUGCAAUGGUUCUCAUCCUUUGCUCUUCCUUUCCCUGUAACAUUGGGCAGGCAAGAUUAAUAAUGAAUAUGAAAGCCAUUUCCUGGUAGUUUCCAUUGAGUCAGUUCUUCCUGUUGGCCAAUGAUUUGUUUUCCAUGCCAAAUAAAAAAUAAAAAAUCACAUUAUCAGCAUCUAUACAAAACUAAUUUCAUAUGCUUUUCCUUUCCUUAAAAAAUUAGCAGCACUGACUUUCAUACCAAUACUGUGUUUAAGUAAAUUCUUAAAUUUCUAUAGCAGUUCUCAGAAGGAUGCUUUGAAAGCAACAGUAUGUAGAGAUAUCUAUAUGUGUGAAACUGCCAUCACAGAUCCAACACCAGAGGGAGAGCUUUCCCAACACCUCACCUUCUAUCAAACACAUUAAUUUUCAAUAGUAGCAGGUCACACAUUCUGUGGUGAUGUCUUUCCUCUAAUAAGAUAUUAAGUGAUAACAUGUGUGAAUUAGGCCUCGAUCCAUAUCCACAUACAAAGAAACAGCCCUUUGGGCGCAUCUAUGGCUGGUCAAAAUGCACUUACAGACUGUCACUAUUUUCAGAUGGGAUUUAAUCACAUACCAGCUAAUUCAGGUUGCACAGUUUCAGUGGAUUGCAGGCUCUUGCAAAACAAACCCCACUUCCUCAAAAUAGUGGACUUUUUGUAAUAAGGGAAGUGACAGGAAAAUACAGUAGAAAAUGUAUGAUAAUGCUUUGAUGAAACAUCAUCUAACUUCCCUGCAAACAAGUCAGGCUGAAUGCACAAUACACAGGACAUCAGGAGGCACCCUUAGAAUUGAAAGCCUUUUAAUCCCUUUAUCAGCCUUUUAAUUAUUUUAUUCCUUAGAAAGUAGUAGUCCCAUUCCAACUGUGACCUCAUGCUCAUUUUGCAAAAUUCCUGUUAACAAAUUUUUGGCACCAUUUUGAAAUUCCACAGAUCUAUUGAAAGAUUCCCAAAGAGUGCUAAAGGAAACCAGCAUUGUAUUAGGAUAUUUGGGAUAGCCACAUCUGACUAAUAUAGGCAUGUGACAUAUCUAUUCUAAUUUGGAUUCUUCUCAUUUUAACCUGCAGAUAAAUGAAUAUCCACUUGUUGCUUUCUAUUGAUGGUAUCCAACUAAAUACUACUCAAAGUGGAUCCACUGAAAUCAGUAGGCAUGGCUAAGUUCGUUUACUUCAGAAGCUCUACUUGGAGUUUUGUGGGCUUGAACUGAUGAGAGUUGUAGUCCAAAACAUCUGGAGAACACUAGGUUUGUGGAGGCUGGCCUAGGAACAGGAAGAAAAAUGAAAUGCCUGUUCAUCCAUGAAGCUCACUAAGUGAUCAUAAAAUUGUAGAGUUGGAAGGUACCCUGAGGAUCAUCUAGUCCAAUCCUCUGCAAUGCAGGAACAUGCAACUGUCCCACAGAGGGAUCAAACCUGCAACCUUGGCAUUAUCAGCUUAUCUUUAUAUCUCAGCCUAAUCUACCUCACAAGGUUGUUUAGAUGAUAAAAUGGGAGAUGGGACGCAUGUUUGCUGCCCUGUGCUCCUUGGAAGGUGGGUAGGAUAAGAGCCUAAUAAAUAAGCAGAUAAUCCAGAGUGCCAAGUUGUUGAGAUGGGCUCUGCAUUUUCUGUACACAGUGAGCCUCAAAGCACCACUAAAACUAAUGAAGAGCUUAAGGAACUGGCCCUCAAAACAAAGACACCAUUCAGUACUAUAAAAAGUGAGAUCUUUGGCUAAUGUUGUGACCUUGCAGCAAAGCCUUAAGGAUCAAUCCUAUAUCUACAGACACCCAGUGCAGUGGAUAGUGCUUCCUGAAGCAAUCUGAGAAACCUCUAAUGGACCUCAGGGCUCUUGCGUUCAAAAACUAACAAAUUGCCUCUUACGGUUUCCUCAUCCUUUUGUUAUCAGUAAACAUUAUGAUCAUGUGCACAUUGGCUGCUCCUGUGUGGUCUCUCCCCACUUCAUCUCUGCAGCACGUUGCCACAGAAAACACAAGCCAGUCAGCUCAUAAUCGAGAUAAUGUCUGCACUUUCCAGAAGGAGCUUGAGAAUUACAGGAGGGAGAGGGAAUGGCUUUUUCUUUCCCACUUUGUUUGGCCCAGAAGCCAAGAUACACACAGCAACAUCAGAAUGGUUUUUAUCUGCCUUGAUUUAUUGCAGUGUCUUUAUCUAUUGUGUAAUUCCUUAUCUCAUUUUCUCUCUCUUUUUUAAAGAUGGAAAGCUUUCAUGCUAUACCUCUGAGUGUCAAAAUGCUGGGAACAAACAGCAGGAGGAGGCCAUCACUUUCACGCUCUGCUCAUGACCUCACCAAAUACAUGUGGCUGGUUGUUGUUGUUGAAGCAGAAGACUAGACUGGAUUGAUGCAUCUUGCUCUCAGCCACCAAGGCAGUUCUUACGUUACUGUGCUUAUUGCAAAGCAUCCAGAUGCAAGCGUGAGAGUAGAGCUAAGCUCCUUCUUUUCCCUUCCUUUCCCCAACCCACAAUUCCUAUGAAACGUGCAACCCAAAUGACCAAGAUGAUCAAGCAGCUCCUCUAUGAGGAAAGGCUGCAGCAUUUGAGGCUUUUUAGUUAAAGAAAAGGCAAGAUGAAAGAAGUGCCUAAAAUUAUGCAUGCCAUGUAGAAAGUGGAGAGAGAAUAGUUUUUCUCCCCCUCUCACAGGUGUGCCAACUCUAGGGGGCCACGGUGUAUUUGGUCCCCUCAAUAUUUGUCUCAAGGGGAUCCGGCCACCUCAAUGUUGAGGCAGCCCAGCAUGCAGCCUACCGGAAGGCUGCCCCGGCCUGCGCAGUGUCAGGAGACAUGUGUUAUAUCAUGUGACAUGCCCGUGAUGUCAUGUGACGCUCAGCACACGCUGGGCCCCCUCAGUUUUGGGGGCAACCUGCUCUCCCAUAACACUAGAACUCAUGGGCAGCCAAUGAACCUGAACUGACAACAGAAAGUACUUCACACUGCACAUAGUUUAACUAUGGAAUCCACACCCACAAGAGGCAGUAAUGGCCACCAACUUAGAUAGCUUUAAAAUAAUUAGACAAAUUAAUGAAGGCUAUCAGUGGCUGGGAACCCUGAUGGCUAUGUUCUACUUCUGCUGUUGGAGGCAGAAUGCUUCUCAAUACUAGUUUCUGGAAACCACAGGGUGGGGUAGUGCUAACACACUUGGGUCCCUGCUUUGGGGCUUCCCAUAGGCAUCUGGUCAACCCCUGUGAGAACAGGGUGCUGGACUAGAUGGGCCAUUCUUAUGUUCUAAUGAAAGACUGCCCACAAAGGACCUGAGAUACGUGUAAGAUUAGCAAGCCAAACUUCCUUUGCACAAACAGAUGGUUCAUGGCAGAGCCAUCCCAAGCCAUUUUGGUGACUAUGGUGAAAACAAAUAAUCACCACCUCACACACUGUUUAUAAUAAAUAAAUAUCAGGCUAUUUUGUGUUUUUUAAUGGUGUCCAGAUACUCUUCCUCAUGGUCAAAGCAACCCUGGUUCAAGCCCG